This is a long non-coding RNA of Priapulus caudatus, 402 nucleotides long. RefSeq lists it as uncharacterized. The transcript has 3 exons. The record is from RefSeq and is a predicted model, not a curated record. Lineage: Eukaryota; Metazoa; Priapulida; Priapulimorpha; Priapulimorphida; Priapulidae.
GUGCAGAACACUCGGCUCCUGUAGCGAUAACAUGAAGAUAUGCUUCCCGUCAGCAGGACGGCAAGCGCAGCUGAUGGCAGUGUAGUGGGAAAAAGCGAAGCUAGGCUACCUGCAUGGAUGACCCAAUCGCGAGAGUCACCGCUGAAAGAGCAAAGGAAACGAUCUUGUGUUGUCGCUGUGCCAUCUGUUCAACCUCUUGGUCGUAGAUUUGUUAAUUGCUCAAGUGAUAAUAGGCUAAUAGCAAUGACUUUUCUAGUGACAGGUGUUUGCCUGCGACCAGUGGCAGCCUACAGAGGACAGUACAGUAUUUGCUGAGUGAGCAAGAACUAAUUCAAGAGGCAGAGGCACUACUCAUAGAGGGUUAAAAUGCCUGUAAUGCGGUGAUGCAAAAGCAGCACGGAA